This 529-nucleotide unclassified non-coding RNA is filed under the name Dermacentor andersoni. RNAcentral's name for it is "venom toxin OcyC11-like". Lineage: Eukaryota; Metazoa; Arthropoda; Arachnida; Ixodida; Ixodidae. The record is from RNAcentral.
CAAGGAUUUUGUAAUACUCAAAUUGCUUACGGCAUAUACACGAUGCACGGAGCUAACGCAACGCGACGAUUACUCCGUUGGAGACUAAAACUCACCAGUUGGUGACGCCACCCUUCUCUCUUCCAAGGACUCUGAAUAGUGACCCGUAUCGACUUGGAAACAUGGAUAUCAAAGUAAGGUGGAGGGGUCUCCUUGUGGCACUGCUUUACGGCCAACUGCAGGACUGCCACUGUGGAGUUCGUGAACGCACCCUGGGAAGGGAUGGUGGAUGUCGAACAGAAGGAGGUUACACGCUCGAGGACGGGGAGGAGUUAAGCGCGGAACACCCCUGCGAACGCUACAAGUGCCGUGACGGGGAACUUACGACGGAAAGGUGUCGUCUGGCUUCCGAUAGAAUGUGUCGUCAGGUGUUUACAGGAGUGGGAGCGUACCCUCUCUGCUGCGGCCGUGCAGUGAUUUGCACUUGAAACGCCAAACAAAAAUUCCGAAACAAAGCAAGAACCACGGAAUUCAAGCGAAACCAAAACGU